This 201-nucleotide long non-coding RNA is filed under the name Lathyrus oleraceus (garden pea). RNAcentral describes it as "Pisum sativum (pea) long non-coding RNA (PSAT_LNC001112)". Lineage: Eukaryota; Viridiplantae; Streptophyta; Magnoliopsida; Fabales; Fabaceae. The record is from RNAcentral.
UUAAGACAUCCUUAGAUGAAUUGUCCCCAUAUCUUGUAAAUUCAGCAAUAGCACAAGCAAUCAAUCUCUAUGGGGUCUCCUUCCUCAAUCCCUAGCUUCAUUCCAAAGCUCUCAAACUCUUCUCUUUUCACGUUAACAUCAAAACUCCCCAAAACUCUUACUUUUCUAUUUCUUUUAAAAUAUAUAGUAACUUAAUUAAAU